RNAcentral lists this long non-coding RNA (6083 nucleotides) under Sus scrofa (pig). Its description in RNAcentral is "lncRNA (ENSSSCG00025046948.1)". Lineage: Eukaryota; Metazoa; Chordata; Mammalia; Artiodactyla; Suidae. The record is from RNAcentral.
AUCCAUUUAUUUGCCAAAGAUUUACGCCAAGUCUACUGUGGGCUAUAAUUGCCCUUUUCUCUUUACCCAGCCUUAUAGGCAAAAAAUAAGAGGUAAUACAACAGAAUCAGUUUUAGUUUCAUGUUGCUUAUAUCUGGCACAUCCAUUUCCAUUUGAUUUUUUUUUUUUCUUAAACAUUUAUUAAGUACUAUUUUGGGGUUAGGCAGUUUCUCAUUGUGAGAGCUUUUUCCAAGGACAAGGCAAUGGUGAUUUGCUCAAGGUCACACACUGGUAACAACAAAUUUUGGUGCUUGACCAUUAAAAUCCAUCCUCUUCUCCCUGCAUCAUGCUCCCCUGUGAAUGGGACUACUUUAGCGUCAUUUCUUAGGUAGUUUCUGUUUUAUACGGGCCUGGAGCCCCUGUGGGUUUCUAAAGCAGAAAGUGGUAGAGCUGCUAAAAGUUUGUGUAAGCAGCCUCGGGAAACAGAUCUUUAGUAAGCUCAGAAACCAGUUAGGGUGGGGUGAUUUCCCAGUCACGUGGUAGUAGUGUGGUGUCCUGGCAAGAGCAGGAGCUGUGGGCUUAGGCUGACUGAAUCCCAUCUCUACUAUUUUCUAGCUCUUUGACCUCAGGCCCUUCACUAAGCCAGCCACCACCACACCUGAGCCUUGGUUUCCUCGCCUGAAGAAACAGGGAAUGGUGUUACCUACCUGGCAGGGUUGUGUGAGGAUUAAAAGGGUAAUGAAAUGUCAAGUUCCAGGUAUGUAAUAGGCACACCGUUAAUGUCACUGUUAUAUAGCUUGGGUAAUCACUUGGUGAGGAAGCUGUAGGAGGAAUUUUUUAUGGUUUCUUUAAAUCCUGCAAUUCUCUGACCUCAGUGCCUCCUAAGAAGCUCUCUGUGAGAUUUAUAUCUGACUUUACCUAUUGAGGCCCAUCCUGGCUUGCUUAUGCAACCUUGUUUGAAAGAGGUGGCUGAAUUCCCUUGUGGACAAGGUGUUUCAUUCAGUGUCUCUCUGUUUUUUGGUGUUUACUGAGAUUCUCAGGUUUCUAAGUAAUUUCAGCCUGAGACAAGUGAGUAGGAUUGAUGUCUGGCUGCUUUAACACAGGUGUUAUAAACAAGAUUAAGAGGUUGUUGAAAAGAUAUCAGUGGAGCUCUGGGGCAAGCUUUCUGGAGUUAUUCUAAAUUGACAGCUAAUGGGUAGUUUGUCUUGAUGGCUCUCUCUGAGUUGGUUGUAACUGACUAGAGAUGCACCCACAGAGGAAAUCUGCUUAUGAAAAUUCACUUUGCCUUCAUUUAUAAGAAAGUAAAGCUAUUAUAACAUGUAACAGUGUCUUUGCAUGUGCAAAAAACUAUUGUCUUUACACUCUUUUAAGGUACUUUUUUUUUUUUAAAGGCAGUCAAUUAGGUUUUUUUGAUGCCAUAAGCCUGCCAAGCCUCAAAGGAAACUUUAAAAAGGAGAGAGAUAGUUCAAAACAAUGAUUUUAUUCUAUUUAUCUAAUUUUUUCUGUAUAAGACAAUUAUUUUAAUUAUCUUAACCCUUUGUAGAUUUUCUUAUUGCCCAGCAAGUUAUGCAUUUUGCAUUAUUUGGUCUACUACAUGCUAUUGCUAGGAAUCUGAUCAAUUUUUUUUUUUCUUUUUUGUCUUUUGAGGGCCACGCCUGUGGCGUAUGGGGUUUCCCAGGUUAGGGGUCAGAUCGGAGCUGUAGCCUCCGGCUAUGCCACAGUCGCAGCAGUGCCAGAUCCAAGCCGUGUCUGUAACCUACACCACAGCUCAUAGCAACACCAGAUCCUUAACCCACUGAGUGAGGCCAGGGAUCAAACUCGCGUCCUCAUGGAUACUAGUCAGGUUCAUUAACCACUGAGCCAUUGACAGGAGCUCCUAUAGUCAAUUUUAUAACCCUCCUGAGAGAGUUGUAGUUGUGGGGAGAGAGCUUGUAGAAUUUGUAGGUGGGCAAGAGGCAUUCACCUAGGCUACCAGAGAAUUCCUUUUGAUCAUAUUCCACUUGGCCAGAUGUUCGGGGUUCUCUGUUUUCUGGGUGGAGGAAAUAUUUCUGACUCUAAGAGUAACUCAUUUACCAUCCUUGUCCUUAUUGGGAAGAGAAGUAUUUUGCUAACUGUAGGGGUUUGUAAAGCUUCUAGAAAUAGUCAGACCUCUGAGUUGAGGAAAAUAAAGUGCAUCUUAGGCAAAAGCAGACAUAAAGCCAUCUCUUUUCAUUGUUUUGAUGGACUCAUCAAACAGGCAUGUAUUGAGGCCCUAACACCAUAUACUUCAUUCAAGCUCAGAAAGAUAGGUCAGUUGGCACUCUGGUGCUGGAAAGUAUGUUAUAAAAAUCAUGCUGCAUUUUCAGACUUUAAAGUGUUACCCCUACUGUUGAAAAAAUAUUCUUUUUAACAAGAUACUCAGGGUAAAGUUUUAUGUGAGUUCUGUCCUCCUUGAUGUGGCAGCUAUUGUGUAGCAGACUUGUGCGGGUAAGUUUUAAGCUUUAAAAGAAAUAAUGUAGCAGCUGAUGUCCUAGGCUCCAGAGAUCAAAACCAUGCUGGAACCUUUAAAGAAUUAAGGAGCGGCUGUGGAAGACAUAGAUUUUGUAAAUAAAUGCAAUGACUCACUCUCACUUUCCAUCUGGUUCUCACUCAUUCAGUCCUAAACCAUUCAGUAUGCUCUGAAUAGUCCCCCCUUGCUUUUUUUUUUUUAAAUCUUCACUCUCUUCUUUCCCUUCUAUCCUCCUGCUAGUGUUUUUCCCUCAACCACUCCUAUUUGAAAGGGGAAUGCAGUUUUGAGUCUUGGCUAUGACCUCAGAGGCAACUUAUAGAAAAAAAUAAUUAAAGAUUUCCUUGCCCCCACUUUAGUCUUAAUAAAAUUGCCCAUUGCUAGAGGCAAUAUUCCACUGGCUGGGACAUCCUCUGUCAGCGUAAUUACAUGUACCAGGUAUGCCAUGUCCAUGUAACUGGCAGAGCUGCUAGUGGCUGUAUGCAUAGUCCACCUUUACCUAGUUUCUGUGACAUACACUUAUAAAAUAUCUUACCUUUGUAUUACUCUAAAUAGUAAAGUGAAUUUAUUGUGUCUGAGCCUUGAUCUAAAAAUAGAAAUAAUUUAAAAUAGCUUUGCCAUAUUAAUUUGUUGUUUAAUAUUUAAAGAUUCAAAGUGGACUAGUAUUCAUGGUAGGUACCCCUGGGUUCAGUGUGGGUUCCCCAGAUGAUCCGAGUGAGGGAGAUCUUACUGAAAUCUCCAUAUAGACAGAUGGCAGUAGGCUCUUCUGGCUCAUGAACUUCUAAAUGGGCACAGAAUAACUGUAGGAAAGAGCUUUCCUGGCUAACGGCAUGGGCAGAAAAAUGGCAGGAGGGAUUUUGAAAGAUGAUGGCCAGGGGAAAUAAUACAAAUCAUGCCUUUGAGAUGAUAGUUUCUGAAGUUGUGACUAAGGAAAGCAGAUUGGGAGGUUGUAUAUGCUGACUGCUCCUGCAAAAGCGAGAGUUAGAUUCUAGACCCAGCUGUAUGGCCUCAGGCUCAAGUCUUGUUACUUCCUUGAGUCUUAGUUUAUUCAUCUGUAAUUAUGAGGUCUUUGUUUGAACCUGAGUUUUACUAUUCUUAUCCUCUGAAUAUCACUUGGUGUCACCAUUAGAAAAUUUGCUAAGCCAUAUAGCCCAGGGUGGCAUAAUAUGAUUAAAUAUGUAGAUGCAGAACAGAUAAAUUCUGCCUGUUUGCAGUUAUCUAAUGAUCCAGGGAAUUCUGAGGAUAUGUAUGCAUUGUUUACAUUUGCUAAUAGUGAAUUAUGAUUCUUGGGUAGUUCAUUGGUUUGGCUGUCCUCUUUCCUUGUCUCUCAUUGAUUUAGAACCUGGGUUAAGUAACUGCUAUGAGCUGGGCACUGUUGGGUGUUAGCAGCAAAGGUCAGAUCUCAUGGCGCCUACCCUUGAAGACAUAGCUUAUGAUUUAGUAGAGGAAAUGGAGCCUUAUUAAUGCAUGUGUAGUAUGCAUUUUUAAAAGGCUGAGUAGGACUCCUCUAGCUGGAGUAAAAGGGGAAAGGAAGGUGAUCUGUUCAUGGUAGCACUAAAUGUGUUUUCUCCAUUCCAAGGCAUCAUUUGAAUAACUGAAGGUGACUCUUAGGUCCCUCUCCCAAUCUUCUCUAUUCCCUUACUGGUUUUUUUCUAUAGCAAGAUUCCAGACCCUAUACUAUGCUGCUCAUGCAGUAUUGAGAUUGUAAUAUUUCUUUUAUUUUUAAAAUUUAUUUAUUUUAAUUGAAGUAUAGUUGAUUUAUAAUGUUAUGUUAGUUUCAGGUGUACGGCACAGUGAUUGAGUUGUGUGUGUGAAAAAAAACUAUAUAUAUAUAUGUAUAUAUUCUUUUUCAGAAUCUUUUAUAGGUUAUUACAAAAUGUUGAAUAUAUUCCCCUUGCCGUAUACCAGGUCUUUGUUGAUUAUCUGUUUUAUAUAUAGUAGUAUGUAUAUGUUAAUCCCAACCUCUGAAUUUUUUCCUACUCUUCCUAACUCUUUGGUAACCAUAAGUUUGUGUGGGUCAAUUUCUGUUUUGUAAGUUCAUUUGUAUCUUUUUUUUUUUUUUUUUUAGAUUGCACAUAUAGGCAAUAUUGUAUGAUUUUGUCUUUGGCUUACUUCACUUAAUAUGAUAAUCUCUAGAUCCAUCCAUGUUGCUGCACAUGGGAGUAUUUCAUCCCUUUUUAUGGCUGAGUAAUAUUCCGUGUGUUUGUGUGUGUGUGUGUGUGUGUGUGUGUGUAUGUAAGUAACCUCACAUCUUUUUUUCAUCUGUCAGUGGACAUUUAGGUUGCUUCCAUGUCUUGGCUACUGUAAAUAGAGCUGCAGUGAACACUGGGCUGCAUAUAUCUUUUCUUUUUUUCUUUUCUUUUUGUCUUUUUGUCUUUGCUAUGGCCACACCCAUGGCAUAUGGAGGUUUCCAGGCUAAGGGUCUGAUCAGAGCUGUAGCCACCGGCCUAGCCAGAGCCACAGCAACAUCAGAUCUGAGCCUCGUCUGCAACCUACAACCACAGCUCAUGGCAGUACCAGAUCCUUAACACACUGAGCGAGGCCAGGGAUCGAACCCACAACCUCAUGGUUCCUAGUCAUAUUCGUUUCCACUGCGCCACAAUGGGAACUCCAUGUAUCUUUUCAGAUUAUAGUUUUCUCCAGAUAUAUGCCUAGGAGCGGGAUCGUAAGAUCACAUGGUAACUCCAUUUUUAGGUUUUUGAGGAACCUCCAUACUGUUCUCCACAGUGGCUGUACCAAUUUACUUUCCCACCAAUAGGUUCCUUGGUAGGAAGAGGGUUCCUUUUUCUCCAUACCCUUUCCAGCAUUUAUUAUUUGUAGACUUUUCGAUGAUGGCCAUUAUGACCAGAGAGGAGUGAUACCUCAUUAUAGUUUUGAUUUGCAUUUCUCUAAUAAUUAGUGAUGUUGAGCAUCUUUUCAUGUGCCUGUGGGCCAUUUGUAUGUCUUCUUUGGAGAAAUGUCUCUUUAGAUCUUCUUCCCAUUUUUUUUUUAAAUUGGGUUGUUUAUUUUUCUGAUACUGAGCUGUGUGAGCUGUUUAUAUAUUUCAAGUUAAUCCCUUCUCAGUUACAUUGUUUGCAAGUAUUUUCUCCCAUUCUGUAGGUUGUCAUCUCAUUUUAUUUCUGGUUUCUUUUGCUGUGCAAAGCCUUUUUUAAGUUUAAUUAGGUCCGAUUUGUUUGUUUUUGUUUUUAUUACAUUACUUUAGGAGACAGAUCCAAAAGUAUAUUGCUGAGAUUUGUUUCAAAGAGUGUUCUGCCUAUGUUUUCCUCUAGGAGUUUUAUAGUAUCCAGUCUUAAAUUUAGGUCUUAUAAUUUGAGUUUAUUUUUGUAUAUGGUGUUAGAGAAUGUUCUAAUUUCGUUCUUUUACAUGUAGUUGUCCAGUUUUCCCAGCACCACUUAUUAAAGAGACUGUCUUGGAGUUCCCUUCAUGUUUCAGUGGUUGACAAAUCCGACUAGGAACCAUGAAGUUGCAGGUUUGAUCCCUGGCCUUGCCCAGUGAGCUGUGGUGUAGGUCACAGACACAGCUUGGAUCUGGCGUUGCUGUGGCUGUGGCGUAGGCUGGCAGCAACAGAUCCAAUUAGACUCCUAGCCUGGCAACCUCCAUAUGCUGCAGGUGUGGCCCU